This 73-nucleotide transfer RNA is filed under the name Ovis aries (sheep). It matches the Rfam family "tRNA". Rfam says of the family: Transfer RNA (tRNA) molecules are approximately 80 nucleotides in length. The record is from Rfam by way of RNAcentral. Lineage: Eukaryota; Metazoa; Chordata; Mammalia; Artiodactyla; Bovidae.
UCCCUGGUGAUUCAGUGGUUAAGACUCCACACUUGCAUUGUAGGGGGCACAGGUUCAAUCCCUGGUCAGGGAA